RNAcentral lists this long non-coding RNA (1572 nucleotides) under Gossypium raimondii (Peruvian cotton). Its description in RNAcentral is "long non-coding RNA (GRAI_LNC009781)". Lineage: Eukaryota; Viridiplantae; Streptophyta; Magnoliopsida; Malvales; Malvaceae. The record is from RNAcentral.
AAAGUUGAAUCAUAAAAUUAUGGUUUUAUAUUUUAUUCCAUGAGACUUUUACAACAGUAUAUCAUAUGUUCAAAAUGGUUAAGUGAUGAAUAAUGAUUGAUGCUCAAAGUAAGCUACUUGGAAAUAUUGUUGAGAAAAAAUAAAAGUUUAGAUCUCACACUGGGCCCAAUAAAAAAUUUUAUCACCCCCAGCCUAAAUUAAAACCUAAAUUACAAACCCGUUACCCAGGGCCCGACAGCCGACAGGCCCAAAACCAUAAGAUAUUUUCAGUAAAACAAAAAAACCCUAACCCUAACACCCCAUGUGCGCCGCACCCAUCGGCUACCACCCUCGAUCGCGCCGCCCAUUGCUGCUGUCAUUUCACCAAAGAAGUAAGGAGCCACCUGCUCCCCUCCAUCAACGCCUGCAAGCAAGUAAAAGAUAGCAGCAAGAAACAAUAGAAACAGUAGCAAAUAGUGAACGAGAGGGGCUAUAAAAACAUUGCUAAAUUUCUAUGUAAAAGGGGGGUUUUGGUAUCGAAAGAUUCCGAAAAUAAAAACGAAAAAAACUUUGAGGUGAUUCCAUUUUUUUUUUAUUUUUGUGAUUGUGUUGUUUUUUUUAUUUUUUGUUUUGUUUUUAAAUACAAAAAAUAAAAAGGGAGAGGAAAGGCACCUAGGUUCGCCCGUGGGUCUCGUCGCCGGAAUCCUCUUCCUCGUUGCUGAGGUUGGGUCGCGUGAGGGCGUGAAGUUUUCUUUUCUUUCGGCCGUUGAGGCCUAGGAGGCUUGACCUUCUAAUUUUUUUUUAAACGAUUAAAAAGGGGGUAGAUUUCGUGUGGCUCCGACCGCCGCUCACGGCGGUGCUAUGAUGGCAACAUGCCGGAGCCGGCCGCACUAGGGUCUGAAACCCAGAGGAAAAAUGGAAGGAAGAAAUUUAAAAAAGGGGAGGGCGGCUGAAAAUGAUUUUUAGGUUAAAAUUUUGUCAUUUAUAUCAGUGCUCAUACGACGUCGUUUUGGGCCUAAGAUUCAGGCGCCAAAACGGCGUCGUUUCAACGUUGACCCAUGACCCGACCCGACGGCACCGAAGACCCGCGCGUUUUAUAGCGCGUGGGAAAUUUCCGCGUUUGAUACCUUUUGUUUUAUAGUGUUUUUCAAAUCAGCUUUUGUUUAUUUUGAAUUUCAGCAUACAUUUCUGUUUUGUUUCACUUAGGUCCUGAACAAUACGCAGCGUUUCGGGGGCGAGGAAAUAUUUCCAAUAUGCCCCCAUAUAAUCCGCAUAUUUUACUUUAAACCCCUCGUUUUGUUUAUAAUUCUAUUAUUUUCUUGUUAAUUCAGAUUUGAUUGCGAUUUAGUCUUUUCUUUUUCUAAAAACAUUUGUUUUUUUUUAAUUAACUAAUUAAUUAACUAUUUUAUUACUAUUACUUUAGUGGUAUAUUCAGUCAUAUUUUCUUAUCUUACUAUAUAUUAUCACUUUGGGUUUUUAUUCAUAUUAUUAUAAUUUUAUAUUUUAUAAUAUACUUACUUAUUUUUUAUAUACUUUAUAAUUUAUAUAUUCAUACAUACAUUUUAUAAUAUAUAUAUAUACAUAUACGUGUAC